AUGGGUUAGCUGUGCGCGGGUUACCCAUACUGGAGUUACCUGUACAGGAGUUACCUGUACACAGGUUACCCAUACUGGAGUUACCUGUACAGGGGUUACCUGUACUGGAGUUACCUGUACAUGGGUUACCUGUACAGGAGUUACCUGUACAGGGAUUACCUGUACUGGAGUUAUCUGUACGCGGGUUAGCUGUACAGGGGUUAGCUGUAAAGGGAUUACCUGUGUGCGGGUUACCUGUACAGGGGUUACCUAUGCGCUGUAUGCGGGUUAGCUGUACUGGAGUUACCUGUGCGCAGGUUACCCGUGCUGGGGUUACCUGUACAGGGGUUACCUGUACUGGAGCUACCUGUACACAGGUUACCCGUACUGCAGUUACCUGUACUGCAGUUACCUGUACUGCAGUUACCUGUACACAGGUUACUCGUACUGCAGUUACCUGUACUGCAGUUACCUGUACACAGGUUACCUGUACUGCAGUUACCUGUAAUGCAGUUACCUGUACUGGAGUUACCUGUACAGGAGCUACCUGUACACAGGUUACCCGUACAGGAGUUACCCGUACAGGAGUUACCCGUACAGGAGUUACCUGUACUGCAGUUACCUGUACUGCAGUUACCUGUACAGGAGUUACCUGUACAGGAGUUACCUGUACUGCAGUUACCCGUACUGCAGUUACCUGUGCCUGGCUGCCGCUGCCUGGCUCCGGCACAAAUGAGCGCUUUUUGUCCCCGGUGUGCAGGGCAGGAGCGGGGCCCGCGCUGGGAGUUAACGGAAGGAGGAUUUGGGUAGAGAGAGGACAGAAAGCUCUCAGAGGUUGGGGAGUGUGCAGCUGUGAUUGCUGAUCAUCCAGGCUGGAAUGCAGAGCUGGGGGAGGCAGAGCCUCUGCAAAUGCACCUUUGUGAUGGUGGGGUUGUCUGUGCCUUCUUGUCCAGCGUCCGAAAUUGAGGCUGGUUUUAGCUGGCUUUAACUGGCUAUCUUGGUCUUUAUUUAUUUUUUAUUUUUUUUUUUACUUCAUUCAUCCCUGCGGAUGGCUUUUGUUGAGAGAGGAGGUUUUUGUAACUGGAGAAAGCCGUGUUUGGAAAUCAUGUUACCCUUUGGGAUACUGGCUGGCUCUGAAAUCCUCCUGCGCCUUUGCCUUGGCUCCGAGGCUCUUAGCUGACAACAACAGCUCGUGAGGAGGAGCUGGAGCUGCUCCAAGUGGACACGGAACUCCCUGGCGGAUGACAGCUCCCAUCCCCGUGCCCAGGAUCCACGGAGAGCAGCAGUGAUUCAUGAGGCUGCUAUGAGGAUUUGUCAUCUGUGGGCUGGCACUGCUCUGUGUUCAUUAGUUGUCCUGGACUUCAGAGCUGUUUGUUAUUCUCUGAUUAGCCCAAUAAUUAAAUUCAAACAAAGACUGA
Cyanistes caeruleus (blue tit) is the source of this 1397-nucleotide non-coding RNA. The record is from RefSeq and is a predicted model, not a curated record. Lineage: Eukaryota; Metazoa; Chordata; Aves; Passeriformes; Paridae.